This is a long non-coding RNA of Panicum virgatum (switchgrass), 1847 nucleotides long. RefSeq lists it as uncharacterized. Lineage: Eukaryota; Viridiplantae; Streptophyta; Magnoliopsida; Poales; Poaceae. The record is from RefSeq and is a predicted model, not a curated record. The transcript has 3 exons.
UGUCUUCACCUGCCGGCUACCUCUAUAAACCAUGGGAAAUGGUGACAUCCAGCAACACUUAUCUAGUCUAAACACCACGUCUACAUUAGUAAGCCAUACUCUACCAUCCCGCGCGGAGCCCCCACCCUCCGGAUGGACAGACAUCACACUAGAGCAAAUAUACAAAUACUGGAGCAGUUGAUAGAGUUCUAAAGCCAAUAUGUUAACCAUAGCAAGCACAGGGCGAUCAUGCAAUGCAAGCAUCGAAUGAUAACGCAACUAGAUCACUAAGCAUAUAUCUGAUAACUCAAAAUAUACUUCAAGCAUAUAUCGGUAACCAUAGUCUAAUUCUAUUACAAACGACCGAAUAUUACAAGAGAGGACUAGAGAUGAAUUCAUACCAGAACUCCCGAGCAACUCCGGGGACUCGAUGACUCCUAGACUUCUCCUAAACUCCGCUAAGCUUAUAGACUAAGCAAGAAUGCCUUGAGAUGAGUGAGAGGUGUGGGGGGGGGGGUGUGUGUGUGAGUGUGUGUGUGUGUGUGUGUUCAUUCCUUACCCCCUCCCCUUGUAUUUAUAGGAGGGAGCCACGCCGACAUGAGCUUCAUCUGCAGCUGAUCCUUGGUGAACCGACUUAAGGAGCCAAUGCCUUUCCUCCACGUGGCAAGUUGAGGCGGUGGGGCUCGUGGGUCUGGUCGGCCGACCAGGGUGGUCGACCGUCUUGCCCAGGACGCCAACCGCCCCAAAGUGUCGGGGGUUGGGCUUGUCUGGGCCUCCUCUUAUCCUAACACCGAGGCUUGGCCUGUCUUGAGUGGAUUUGGUCUGAUCUUUGGACUUCACUUAGUCCAUUUGCGCCUGAAUUUGUGCUUUGAUAUUUUUUGUGAUUUUCUAUUGGGCCAAAGUGUGCUUGCAACCUGCAUAUUAGGCCAAAAACACAUCUUGCAUUUUUCUAAAGGUGAAGUGUGAUUUAGGGGUUUAUUUGAAUAAAGGUGUGUGUAAGAAAUGCAAACUCUCAUGAUUUUCUGAUCAAGUUGACGCCUGGAAAUGGUCAUUAGUGAGCGUCAAGAAUUACCAUCAUGUACAACUAUUAGCAGUUUAUAGCUUUAUGUGUGCAUGUUCCUGUCAUAUUGCAAGCCAGCAAAGAGUUUACCAUGGUUAUGCAGAAGAAGCUCAAAAAUAGUUGUAUGUGUAAAUCAACUUGGGUGAAUUGUUCUCUCAAAGGUCAGUUAUCAAUGUGCAAAAUUUUCUCUUCAGAAUUUCUCACUUUCAAUUGUUCCAUACACAUUUUUUUCUCCAACUAUUUUUUUUGAGUGGCUCUCCAACUAUUUCCUGAUCUGUGUGGUUGGAGCUUAGGCCUGAACCAGGUGAGCGAUUCCCCAUCCUCCCUGCGCUCCCCCCCCCUCAAAUGACUGGAUCCACUUCCCAUCAGUGUUUUUUGUUGGUUUUUCAGCUUUGGAAAUGAAGUUUGCUGUUAGGAGAAAGCUCACACACCAGCACGAAAAGCGUUCAAGUAACUAUUGUGGGAAUCCCACAUGUUGAUGCAUGCUCAACAUUGGGGACGGGCGUUUAGUGUGCAACAUUCAAGAAAAAGGCAUUUGCAACAUUCUAAAGAUCCUGACGCACAUAUGGCUUAAUUUGAAGAAAAUGACAGUUGAAAAGCAUUCUGAAUUUGGCAUAGGCUCUACAGUAGUGGACUCAAAUCAAGUUCUACAACAGUGGACUCUACAUCAACAUAUCUGUCUAGAUUCUCAGUUUCUCAGAUACACUUGUUAAUUUUUUGUAACUGAAGUUCUACUGUUUUUGUAUCUGGGGGAUAUAUUUUUCCCGGAGGAUCUUGUUGCCAGAACCUAGAACAAAGUUGAAUACGA